RNAcentral lists this ribosomal RNA (1857 nucleotides) under Shigella sonnei. RNAcentral's name for it is "partial 23S ribosomal RNA". It matches the Rfam family "Bacterial large subunit ribosomal RNA", at positions 958 to 2798 of the family's 2925-position model. The record is from RNAcentral. Lineage: Bacteria; Pseudomonadati; Pseudomonadota; Gammaproteobacteria; Enterobacterales; Enterobacteriaceae.
GAAUACCGGAGAAUGUUAUCACGGGAGACACACGGCGGGUGCUAACGUCCGUCGUGAAGAGGGAAACAACCCAGACCGCCAGCUAAGGUCCCAAAGUCAUGGUUAAGUGGGAAACGAUGUGGGAAGGCCCAGACAGCCAGGAUGUUGGCUUAGAAGCAGCCAUCAUUUAAAGAAAGCGUAAUAGCUCACUGGUCGAGUCGGCCUGCGCGGAAGAUGUAACGGGGCUAAACCAUGCACCGAAGCUGCGGCAGCGAUGCUUAUGCGUUGUUGGGUAGGGGAGCGUUCUGUAAGCCUGCGAAGGUGUGCUGUGAGGCAUGCUGGAGGUAUCAGAAGUGCGAAUGCUGACAUAAGUAACGAUAAAGCGGGUGAAAAGCCCGCUCGCCGGAAGACCAAGGGUUCCUGUCCAACGUUAAUCGGGGCAGGGUGAGUCGACCCCUAAGGCGAGGCCGAAAGGCGUAGUCGAUGGGAAACAGGUUAAUAUUCCUGUACUUGGUGUUACUGCGAAGGGGGGACGGAGAAGGCUAUGUUGGCCGGGCGACGGUUGUCCCGGUUUAAGCGUGUAGGCUGGUUUUCCAGGCAAAUCCGGAAAAUCAAGGCUGAGGCGUGAUGACGAGGCACUACGGUGCUGAAGCAACAAAUGCCCUGCUUCCAGGAAAAGCCUCUAAGCAUCAGGUAACAUCAAAUCGUACCCCAAACCGACACAGGUGGUCAGGUAGAGAAUACCAAGGCGCUUGAGAGAACUCGGGUGAAGGAACUAGGCAAAAUGGUGCCGUAACUUCGGGAGAAGGCACGCUGAUAUGUAGGUGAAGUCCCUUGCGGAUGGAGCUGAAAUCAGUCGAAGAUACCAGCUGGCUGCAACUGUUUAUUAAAAACACAGCACUGUGCAAACACGAAAGUGGACGUAUACGGUGUGACGCCUGCCCGGUGCCGGAAGGUUAAUUGAUGGGGUCAGCGCAAGCGAAGCUCUUGAUCGAAGCCCCGGUAAACGGCGGCCGUAACUAUAACGGUCCUAAGGUAGCGAAAUUCCUUGUCGGGUAAGUUCCGACCUGCACGAAUGGCGUAAUGAUGGCCAGGCUGUCUCCACCCGAGACUCAGUGAAAUUGAACUCGCUGUGAAGAUGCAGUGUACCCGCGGCAAGACGGAAAGACCCCGUGAACCUUUACUAUAGCUUGACACUGAACAUUGAGCCUUGAUGUGUAGGAUAGGUGGGAGGCUUUGAAGUGUGGACGCCAGUCUGCAUGGAGCCGGCCUUGAAAUACCACCCUUUAAUGUUUGAUGUUCUAACGUGGACCCGUGAUCCGGGUUGCGGACAGUGUCUGGUGGGUAGUUUGACUGGGGCGGUCUCCUCCUAAAGAGUAACGGAGGAGCACGAAGGUUGGCUAAUCCUGGUCGGACAUCAGGAGGUUAGUGCAAUGGCAUAAGCCAGCUUGACUGCGAGCGUGACGGCGCGAGCAGGUGCGAAAGCAGGUCAUAGUGAUCCGGUGGUUCUGAAUGGAAGGGCCAUCGCUCAACGGAUAAAAGGUACUCCGGGGAUAACAGGCUGAUACCGCCCAAGAGUUCAUAUCGACGGCGGUGUUUGGCACCUCGAUGUCGGCUCAUCACAUCCUGGGGCUGAAGUAGGUCCCAAGGGUAUGGCUGUUCGCCAUUUAAAGUGGUACGCGAGCUGGGUUUAGAACGUCGUGAGACAGUUCGGUCCCUAUCUGCCGUGGGCGCUGGAGAACUGAGGGGGGCUGCUCCUAGUACGAGAGGACCGGAGUGGACGCAUCACUGGUGUUCGGGUUGUCAUGCCAAUGGCACUGCCCGGUAGCUAAAUGCGGAAGAGAUAAGUGCUGAAAGCAUCUAAGCACGAAACUUGCC